GAUGAACGCUAGCGGGAGGCCUAACACAUGCAAGCCGAGCGGUAUUGUUUCUUCGGAAAUGAGAGAGCGGCGUACGGGUGCGUAACACGUGUGCAACCUGCCUUUAUCUGGGGGAUAGCCUUUCGAAAGGAAGAUUAAUACUCCAUAACAUAUUGAACGGCAUCGUUUAAUAUUGAAAGCUCCGGCGGAUAGAGAUGGGCACGCGCAAGAUUAGCUAGUUGGUGAGGUAACGGCUCACCAAGGCGAUGAUCUUUAGGGGGCCUGAGAGGGUGAUCCCCCACACUGGUACUGAGACACGGACCAGACUCCUACGGGAGGCAGCAGUGAGGAAUAUUGGACAAUGGGUGAAAGCCUGAUCCAGCCAUCCCGCGUGAAGGACGACUGCCCUAUGGGUUGUAAACUUCUUUUGUAUAGGGAUAAACCUACCCUCGUGAGGGUAGCUGAAGGUACUAUACGAAUAAGCACCGGCUAACUCCGUGCCAGCAGCCGCCGUAA
Molecule: ribosomal RNA, 495 nt
Filed under: uncultured bacterium
Lineage: Bacteria
Description: partial 16S ribosomal RNA
Rfam family: Bacterial small subunit ribosomal RNA
Source: RNAcentral